CCGCCGCCGCUGCCACCGCCGCUACCGCUGCCGGCAGAGCUGCUGAGAGUGAGCAUCCCCUGUCCGGGACACCCAGCUUCGCCUCAGCUCCCGCGCGCCCGGGCCCCACACGGACCUGCCAGCCCCAGGGAACAAAAGCCGAGCUUCUCGUCCUCUCCUGCAGCCAGAGGAUGAGUCGAGAGGGCUGAGCGGAGAGUGUGGUCCUCAGCGGCUGGAAGCUAUGUCCUUGGCUUCUCUCGAUGAGGAUUCCUGACUUGUGGCCCUGGCAAUCUUGGGAAAACAACAUCCAAUUUCUUCAGUCUAGAGCCUGGGGCCUCCUUUUCCCCGGUGUCACCUCCACCCAGCCUGGAAGCAUUGACUGAACCAUUUUCUAGGACACCAUUCAGCAAGACAUGGUGGUAGACCCUGACUCUAAGUCUUCAUGAUUGAGGGACUCUUUCGCACAACAUAACAGCA
This is a non-coding RNA of Manis javanica (Malayan pangolin), 456 nucleotides long. The record is from RefSeq and is a predicted model, not a curated record. NCBI's taxonomy places the organism in Eukaryota, Metazoa, Chordata, Mammalia, Pholidota, Manidae.